Oryzias melastigma (Indian medaka) is the source of this 294-nucleotide long non-coding RNA. RefSeq lists it as uncharacterized. NCBI's taxonomy places the organism in Eukaryota, Metazoa, Chordata, Actinopteri, Beloniformes, Adrianichthyidae. The transcript is spliced from 3 exons. The record is from RefSeq and is a predicted model, not a curated record.
GGCAGGGAAGUAAAAAGCUAGUUUUUCAGAGCUGGACUGAGACAGACCAUGAUGGUUUUUGCUGUUCAAUCUAAAGCCAUCCACUCAUUUGCAGCCCUUUGAGUGGCAAUAUGAUGAGUGACCGUGGUGUCCAUGAUGACCUCCUCCCUCCCCCCCUGCCAGGGCAAUUGUGGUACAGGCCACGCACUCUCCAGAGCCCGGCCCGCCGCCUCGCUCCUUCGGCUUCUUCAUGGUUAUCAUCGGAGCUCCACCAGCCCGCCGUCCGGCUGCGGUGGCGGCGGCCAGACUCAUGCC